UGUAGGGGUCCUGGAACCAGUUAGUUCCCUGUGCAUAUUGAGGGUUCACUGUACUUGAUUUUAUGAAAUGGCCAAUGCUAAGUUAGUUUGGGUGAAUCAAAUAAUCUUUGGUUCAGAAAAGGGCAAGCUGAGAAUUUAUUGCUUAUUUUGAAAAGAAAUUAUCAGGAAAUAAAUACUGUCUUCAAGAUUCAAGAAAUUCUAUUUUUUCAAGAUUCAUUAUUGACUUACUAAAUCUACUUAUUCAAUUCUUUUGUAAUUUUCUUUUUAAAAGAUUAAAAUUGGAAUUUGAAAGGCAGACAUUCUGGACAUUGGUGUGUAGCUGCUAGCUGAAGAAAUGGAACUGGGCCUGGCCUUUAAAUAAGGGUGUUUCAACUUUAACAUUUCCCUUCCAUGGUAAAUACUAGCAAGAAUAUUUUGGAAGACUAAUAGAGGAAGGAGAUCAGGGAGGGAGUAGGAAAGAGAAGGGGGGUACUGGGUAUUGAAAUGGAGAAAGCUUUGUUAUGUGCAUUUAUGAAUAUGUCAAAAUGAACCCUACCAUUAUGUAUAACUAUAAUGAACUAAAAACAAUGCUUUGGAAAAAUAGUUGCCAGAAUUGUACCACAGAGAAUUUUUCCUAGUGCCAUGAGUCACAGACUUGUAGUUGUUAAAGAAAUAUAUUCAAUAUUAGCAAACAUAUCAGCUGUGGCAGAGAUUGCUAGGUGCUUAGGCCUACUUUUGAUUUUCCUUUCUAAUAGAGCUUAAAUUUUAUUAAAGUAAAAAUGUGCCUGGCUAAGAAGCCUUCGUAUUUUUUAGCUUCUCUUUUAGCUGGGGUUGGCCAUGUGAUAGUCCUUGGUCAGUGGGUGGAAAUUUUUGAAUGAAGUUUUUGGGAAAUUCCUUUUCAACACAAUUUUUUUUUUCUUCCUGUCUAGAAAUUAGACGUAAUGCUG
Molecule: long non-coding RNA, 926 nt
Filed under: Marmota monax (woodchuck)
Lineage: Eukaryota; Metazoa; Chordata; Mammalia; Rodentia; Sciuridae
Source: RNAcentral